This 468-nucleotide ribosomal RNA is filed under the name uncultured bacterium. RNAcentral's name for it is "partial 16S ribosomal RNA". It matches the Rfam family "Bacterial small subunit ribosomal RNA", at positions 28 to 507 of the family's 1533-position model. The record is from RNAcentral.
GACGAACGCUGGCGGCGUGCUUAACACAUGCAAGUCGAACGGAAAGGUCCUGCUUUUGUGGGGUGCUCGAGUGGCGAACGGGUGAGUAACACGUGAGUAACCUGCCCUUGACUUUGGGAUAACUUCAGGAAACUGGGGCUAAUACCGGAUAGGAGCUCCUGCUGCAUGGUGGGGGUUGGAAAGUUUCGGCGGUUGGGGAUGGACUCGCGGCUUAUCAGCUUGUUGGUGGGGUAGUGGCUUACCAAGGCUUUGACGGGUAGCCGGCCUGAGAGGGUGACCGGCGACAUUGGGACUGAGAUACGGCCCAGACGCGUACGGGAGGCAGCAGUGGGGAAUAUUGCACAAUGGGCGGAAGCCUGAUGCAGCAACGCCGCGUGCGGGAUGACGGCCUUCGGGUUGUAAACCGCUUUCGACUGUGACGAAGCGGGAGUGACGGUAAUGGGUAAAGAAGCACCGGCUAACUACGUG